RNAcentral lists this long non-coding RNA (215 nucleotides) under Anas platyrhynchos platyrhynchos (common mallard). RNAcentral describes it as "lncRNA (ENSAPLG00000021580.1)". Lineage: Eukaryota; Metazoa; Chordata; Aves; Anseriformes; Anatidae. The record is from RNAcentral.
CCAGCAGCGCCUGCUGUGGCUGCUGUACGACAUGGGGCACCUGGAGCGCGCCGUGGGGCUGAGGCCGCCCCCUCCCCACGCAGCUACCCCAUGGCCCUGGGCAACUUGGCCGACCUGGAGGAGCUGGAGCCCACCCCGGGCCGCCCGGACCCCCUCACCCUGUACCACAAGGUAAAAUGGGGCUGGGGGGGUCCGGGGGGGUCCGCUAUGGGGCG